This 118-nucleotide ribosomal RNA is filed under the name Danio rerio (zebrafish). Lineage: Eukaryota; Metazoa; Chordata; Actinopteri; Cypriniformes; Danionidae. The record is from RNAcentral.
UUAAACGACUAUAUAUUAUAUGCAGCCCAAGACCGGUUACUCACUGGAGCUGAGCAGGGCUGAGCCUGGUAAGUAGCUGGAUGGGAGACCACAUGGGACAACUGGGUAUUUGUUCGAA